RNAcentral lists this ribosomal RNA (429 nucleotides) under Staphylococcus chromogenes. RNAcentral describes it as "bacterial LSU rRNA". It matches the Rfam family "Bacterial large subunit ribosomal RNA", at positions 2497 to 2925 of the family's 2925-position model. The record is from RNAcentral. Lineage: Bacteria; Bacillati; Bacillota; Bacilli; Caryophanales; Staphylococcaceae.
AGUUCACAUCGACGGGGAGGUUUGGCACCUCGAUGUCGGCUCAUCGCAUCCUGGGGCUGUAGUCGGUCCCAAGGGUUGGGCUGUUCGCCCAUUAAAGCGGUACGCGAGCUGGGUUCAGAACGUCGUGAGACAGUUCGGUCCCUAUCCGUCGUGGGCGUAGGAAAUUUGAGAGGCGCUGUCCUUAGUACGAGAGGACCGGGAUGGACAUACCUCUGGUGUACCAGUUGUCGUGCCAACGGCAUAGCUGGGUAGCUAUGUAUGGACGGGAUAAGUGCUGAAAGCAUCUAAGCAUGAAGCCCCCCUCAAGAUGAGAUUUCCCAACUUCGGUUAUAAGAUCCCUCAAAGAUGAUGAGGUUAAUAGGUUCGAGGUGGAAGCGUAGCGAUACGUGGAGCUGACGAAUACUAAUCGAUCGAAGACUUAAUCAAUUU